GAUGAACGCUAGCGGCAGGCUUAAUACAUGCAAGUCGAGGGGCAGCACGAAUAGCAAUAUUUGGUGGCGACCGGCGCACGGGUGCGUAACACGUAUACAACCUACCUAUAACAGGGGGAUAGCCUUUCGAAAGAGAGAUUAAUACCCCAUAAUAAAUUGAAUAGCAUUAUUUGAUUUUGAAAGAUCCGUCGAUAGAAGAUGAGUAUGCGUCUGAUUAGCUAGUUGGUGAGGUAAUGGCUCACCAAGGCUACGAUCAGUAGGGGAUCUGAGAGGACUACCCCCCACACUGGUACUGAGACACGGACCAGACUCCUACGGGAGGCAGCAGUAAGGAAUAUUGGACAAUGGAGGCAACUCUGAUCCAGCCAUGCCGCGUGCAGGAUGAAGGCCCUAUGGGUCGUAAACUGCUUUUGUACGAGAGAAAACCUAUUUACGUGUAGAUAGUUGAUAGUAUCGUAAGAAUAAGGAUCGGCUAACUUCGUGCCAGCAGCCG
This 493-nucleotide ribosomal RNA is filed under the name uncultured bacterium. RNAcentral's name for it is "bacterial SSU rRNA". It matches the Rfam family "Bacterial small subunit ribosomal RNA", at positions 28 to 517 of the family's 1533-position model. The record is from RNAcentral.